Molecule: ribosomal RNA, 440 nt
Filed under: uncultured bacterium
Lineage: Bacteria
Description: partial 16S ribosomal RNA
Rfam family: Bacterial small subunit ribosomal RNA
Source: RNAcentral
CCUACGGGUGGCAGCAGUGGGGAAUCUUGCACAAUGGGGGAAACCCUGCAGCAGCAACGCCGCGUGGGUGAUGAAGGUUUUCGGAUUGUACACUCCUUUUGUUAGAGAAGAUAAUGACGGUAUCUAACGAAUAAGCACCGGCUAACUCCGUGCCAGCAGCCGCGGUAAUACGGAGGGUGCAAGCGUUACUCUGAUUCACUGGUCGUACAGAGUGUGUAGGCGGGAUAGCAAGGCAGCUGUUAAAUGCUAUGGGUUAAACAUAGAACUGCAUUUGAAACUGUUAUUCUAGAGUAUGGGAGAGGUAGGUGGAAUUCUAGGUGUAGGGGUAAAAUCCGUAGAGAUCAAGAGGAAUACUCAUUGCGAAGGCGACCUGCUAGAACAUAACUGACGCUGAUGCGCGAAAGCGUGGGGAGCAAACAGGAUUAGAUACCCCAGUAGUC